GAAAAACUUGACAGGACGCGUGGUUGAUGAAAAUAGAGUUACAUUUGAGCAGAUGAAGCAAAACAUAUCUAGUACGGUUGCUGGCCUCCUUACUUCCCUUUUGCCUACUGACCGGGUUGUACUCCUGUGUAAUAUAUUGAUAAGGAGGUACUUUGUUCUGACUGCAAGUGAUAUGGAGGAAUGGCACCAGAACCCAGAGUCUU
Molecule: unclassified non-coding RNA, 203 nt
Filed under: Hevea brasiliensis (rubber tree)
Lineage: Eukaryota; Viridiplantae; Streptophyta; Magnoliopsida; Malpighiales; Euphorbiaceae
Source: RNAcentral